GACGAACGCUGGCGGCGUGCCUAAUACAUGCAAGUUGAGCGCUGAAGGUUGGUACUUGUACCAACUGGAUGAGCAGCGAACGGGUGAGUAACGCGUGGGGAAUCUGCCUUUGAGCGGGGGACAACAUUUGGAAACGAAUGCUAAUACCGCAUAAAAACUUUAAACACAAGUUUUAAGUUUGAAAGAUGCAAUUGCAUCACUCAAAGAUGAUCCCGCGUUGUAUUAGCUAGUUGGUGAGGUAAAGGCUCACCAAGGCGAUGAUACAUAGCCGACCUGAGAGGGUGAUCGGCCACAUUGGGACUGAGACACGGCCCAAACUCCUACGGGAGGCAGCAGUAGGGAAUCUUCGGCAAUGGACGAAAGUCUGACCGAGCAACGCCGCGUAAGUGAAGAAGGUUUUCGGAUCGUAAAACUCUGUUGGUAGAGAAGAACGUUGGUGAGAGUGGAAAGCUCAUCAAGUGACGGUAACUACCCAGAAAGGGACGGCUAACUACGUGC
This 498-nucleotide ribosomal RNA is filed under the name uncultured bacterium. RNAcentral describes it as "partial 16S ribosomal RNA". It matches the Rfam family "Bacterial small subunit ribosomal RNA", at positions 28 to 508 of the family's 1533-position model. The record is from RNAcentral.